CUCGUUCAUUUUUUGUCUUGACCCAAGCAUGCCCAGAAAGCAUGUUUAUCCUCAAUUGAGGAUAGUGGAUUGUGUGAAAGCACAUUCGUAUGAUAUGAUUGAGAGUUGGCACUCAAUGUAUCUCUAAAAAAGCCAAUGGCUUAUUUACAACUUUCAGCAAUGGAUCUCUUGGUUCUCGCAUCGAUGAAGAACGCAGUGAAAUGCGAUAACUGGUGUGAAUUGCAUCUAUGUAACUCUAAUUUACGAAUAACACCAAGUGAAUCAUCGAGUCUUUGAACGCAAUUGCGCCCUCUCGGUCGCUUCCAAUUGGGGGUUGACUCAUAGGGGGUACAUCUGUUUGAGGGUCAUUUGUACCUUCUCAAAGGAUUUUUUAUUAUUAUUAUUAUUAAAGAACCUUUGGAUUUGGGUCUUGCUGUGAUCAUCUCUCAGCUGACCUUGAAAGCAUUAGCAAGCUUUUUCUGAGUCUUUUCUAGAUGAGGCGUUCUAAACAGUUGACGUCUUCACAAUAAAAAGAACAGAGUGCUUAAGCCUGCUUCUAAUCAUACGGCCAUUA
RNAcentral lists this ribosomal RNA (553 nucleotides) under uncultured Craterellus. Its description in RNAcentral is "eukaryotic LSU rRNA". The stretch from base 149 to 347 matches the Rfam family "5.8S ribosomal RNA". The record is from RNAcentral. Lineage: Eukaryota; Fungi; Basidiomycota; Agaricomycetes; Cantharellales; Hydnaceae.